GAUGGAACUCUUUCCCAUACUUGGUUGGACGAGUUAAAGGGAAUGUUGAACAAAAAAUACAAAUAUUGUCUGAGAAAUAGCGACAUUGACUUGAGUUUGGAGAAAUUGAAAAUAAUUUUUGAGACGCAAGACUUGGAUUUAUUAUCGCCAAGUUCGCUCAGUGAAAUUAUCUCGAUUUAUUUUGGAGAAGUACAAAUAGGAUGGCCAGAAGUAGUAAUGCCCUGGCUGGAGGAACUUGAUGACACUCCUUUAAAACUGGAGUUGAAACUUUUAGCAUCAGAGUGUCUGCAAAAGUGUUUCGACUUUAAAAAUUCCUAUUGCAAUGAAAUCGUAGCUCAAAAUGAACUCGCCUGCGCUAAAAAUUUGUGUUCGAUUUUG
Neocloeon triangulifer is the source of this 378-nucleotide long non-coding RNA. RefSeq lists it as uncharacterized. The record is from RefSeq and is a predicted model, not a curated record. The transcript is spliced from 3 exons. NCBI's taxonomy places the organism in Eukaryota, Metazoa, Arthropoda, Insecta, Ephemeroptera, Baetidae.